Anser brachyrhynchus (Pink-footed goose) is the source of this 87-nucleotide microRNA precursor. Lineage: Eukaryota; Metazoa; Chordata; Aves; Anseriformes; Anatidae. The record is from Ensembl.
UGGUUUCUCCAUGGGUGGGGAUUUGUUGCAUUACUUGUAGCUAUGUGUAGAGUAUUGCACUUGUCCCGGCCUGUGGAGGAAAGGAGG